CCAAUAGCGUAUAUUAAAGUUGUUGCAGUUAAAAAGCUCGUAGUUGAACUUCGGGGUUUACUCAUGGGUCAGGCUUAAUUGUCUGUACUGGUGAGCUGAAUCUCUACCUUCUGAGGAACUUUCAUGUCAUCUAUUUGGUGUGAUGGGAAAUCAGGACUGUUACUUUGAAAAAAUUAGAGUGUUUAAAGCAGGCUAACGUCUGAAUACAUUAGCAUGGAAUAAUGAAAUAGGACGGACUGAUUCUAUUUCGUUGGUUUCUAGGAUCACCGUAAUGAUUAAUAGGGAUAGUUGGGGGCAUUAGUAUUCAAUUGUCAGAGGUGAAAUUCUUGGAUUUAUUGAAGACUAACUACUGCGAAAGCAUUUGCCAAGGAUGUUUUCAUUAAUCAAGAACGAAAGUUAGGGGAUCGAAGACGAUCAGAUACCGUCGUAGUCUUAACCAUAAACUAUGCCGACUAGGGAUCGGACGAAGUUAAUUUUAUAAUGACGCGUUCGGCACCUUACG
RNAcentral lists this ribosomal RNA (502 nucleotides) under uncultured Glomeromycotina. RNAcentral describes it as "partial small subunit ribosomal RNA". It matches the Rfam family "Eukaryotic small subunit ribosomal RNA", at positions 591 to 1092 of the family's 1831-position model. The record is from RNAcentral. Lineage: Eukaryota; Fungi; Glomeromycota.